Molecule: ribosomal RNA, 325 nt
Filed under: uncultured eukaryote
Lineage: Eukaryota
Description: partial 18S ribosomal RNA
Rfam family: Eukaryotic small subunit ribosomal RNA
Source: RNAcentral
CCCUUAGAUGUCCUGGGCCGCACGCGCGCUACACUGAUGCAUUCAACGAGUUUUACCUUGGCCGAGAGGCCUGGGCAAUCUUUUAAACCUGCAUCGUGAUAGGGAUAGAUUAUUGCAAUUUUUAAUCUUGAACGAGGAAUUCCUAGUAAACGCAAAUCAUCAAUUUGCAUUGAUUACGUCCCUGCCCUUUGUACACACCGCCCGUCGCACCUACCGAUUGAAUGGUCCGGUGAAGCCUCGGGAUUGUGGCCAGUUCACUUUAUUGGGAGUUGGCUGUGAGAACUUGUCUAAACCUUAUCAUUUAGAGGAAGGUGAAGUCGUAACA